UACGUAGGGUGCAAGCGUUGUCCGGAAUUAUUGGGCGUAAAGAGCUCGUAGGUGGCCUGUCGCGUCGGCUGUGAAAACUCGGGGCUCAACUCCGAGCUUGCAGUCGAUACCGGCAGGCUAGAGUUCGGCAGGGGAGACUGGAAUUCCUGGUGUAGCGGUGAAAUGCGCAGAUAUCAGGAGGAACACCGGUGGCGAAGGCGGGUCUCUGGGCAACAACUGACGCUGAGGAGCGAAAGCGUGGGGAGCGAACAGG
Molecule: ribosomal RNA, 253 nt
Filed under: uncultured bacterium
Lineage: Bacteria
Description: partial 16S ribosomal RNA
Rfam family: Bacterial small subunit ribosomal RNA
Source: RNAcentral